GUAGUCCUAAAAUUUAUGAGCGGACUGUUUGGAUGGAAUCAUAAUCUUUAGGAUGUUAGAGGGGAAAUGACUUUUGUACCCCUAAUUACUCCACCCCUGCUCUGUUUCUAGCGCCGUGGAGAGAGAAGGGGAGGGGCAACAAGGGUAAAGGAUGGGUUGGGGACCACUUUUAGGAGAAAAAUGACCCAUUAUGAUGGUUUGGUCCUCCUAAUGAAAACAACACUCCUAAACAUUAUGAAUGCACUUUUAUGACAUAUGUUUGGAUGCACAAGUCCUAAAAGUGGACUAAAAGUGAAGUCCUAAAAAUUAUGAGUGUGUA
This 319-nucleotide long non-coding RNA is filed under the name Setaria viridis. RNAcentral describes it as "long non-coding RNA (SVIR_LNC003128)". The record is from RNAcentral. Lineage: Eukaryota; Viridiplantae; Streptophyta; Magnoliopsida; Poales; Poaceae.